UCUCAGGUAGCUUAGUGGUAAAGCACCCGACCGGCAAUUGGGGGAUCUGGAUUCAAGUCCUGGCCCGAGCU
This 71-nucleotide transfer RNA is filed under the name Strigamia maritima. It matches the Rfam family "tRNA". Rfam says of the family: Transfer RNA (tRNA) molecules are approximately 80 nucleotides in length. Their secondary structure includes four short double-helical elements and three loops (D, anti-codon, and T loops). Lineage: Eukaryota; Metazoa; Arthropoda; Chilopoda; Geophilomorpha; Linotaeniidae. The record is from Rfam by way of RNAcentral.